UAAACUGGGAUUAGAUACCCCACUAUGCCUAGCCCUAAAUCCUAAUGCUUACCUUACCCAAGCAUUCGCCUGAGAACUACGAGCACAAACGCUUAAAACUCUAAGGACUUGGCGGUGCCCCAAACCCACCUAGAGGAGCCUGUUCUGUAAUCGAUACCCCACGAUACACCCGACCCCUCCUUGCCAAGGCAGCCUACAUACCGCCGUCGCCAGCUCACCUCCCUUGAAAGCACAGUAGUGAGCACAACAGCCUACACACGCUAGUAAGACAGGUCAAGGUAUAGCCCAUGGAGGGGAAGAAAUGGGCUACAUUUUCUAACAUAGAGGACUCACGGAAGGGGGUGUGAAAUCGCCCCUAGAAGGCGGAUUUAGCAGUAAAGUGGAACCAUAAAGCCCACUUUAAGCCGGCCCUGGGGCACGUACACACCGCCCGUC
RNAcentral lists this ribosomal RNA (435 nucleotides) under Haematopus unicolor. RNAcentral's name for it is "partial 12S ribosomal RNA". It matches the Rfam family "Bacterial small subunit ribosomal RNA", at positions 768 to 1398 of the family's 1533-position model. The record is from RNAcentral. Lineage: Eukaryota; Metazoa; Chordata; Aves; Charadriiformes; Haematopodidae.